RNAcentral lists this ribosomal RNA (383 nucleotides) under Vibrio parahaemolyticus. RNAcentral's name for it is "bacterial SSU rRNA". It matches the Rfam family "Bacterial small subunit ribosomal RNA", at positions 247 to 622 of the family's 1533-position model. Lineage: Bacteria; Pseudomonadati; Pseudomonadota; Gammaproteobacteria; Vibrionales; Vibrionaceae. The record is from RNAcentral.
AGUUGGUGAGGGAAGGGCUCACCAUGGCGACGAACCCAAGCUGGUCUGGGUGGUGGAUCAGCGACACUGGUACUCACACACCAUCCCGACUCCUACGGGAGGCAGCAGUGGGGUAUAUUGCACAGAGGCCGCCAGCCUGCUGCAGCCAUGCCGCGUGUGUGAAGAAGGCCUUCGGGUUGUAAAGCACUUUCAGUCGUGAGGACGGUAGUGUAGUUAAUAGCUGCAUUAUUUGACGUUAGCGACAGAAGAAGCACCGGCUAACUCCGUGCCAGCAGCCGCGGUAAUACGGAGGGUGCGAGCGUUAAUCGGAAUUACUGUGCGUAAAGCGCAUGCAGGGGGCUUGUUAAGUCAAAUGUGAAAGCCCGGGGCUCAACCUCGGAAUU